UAUAAGGGAUUUUGACAUUUUGCUUGCACUGUUUGACCAUUCGUCUUAUUCAAAAAAUUUUGGAACCAUUAUUUAUUUUUGUGACUUACUUUAUUAUCCAAAGUGCUUUAAGCACAACUUUUCGUUUUUUAUAUUUGCACAAAUUUUUUGAAUAAGACGAGUGGUCAAACAGUGCAAGCAAAAUGUCAAAAUCCCUUAUA
RNAcentral lists this microRNA precursor (200 nucleotides) under Oryza barthii. RNAcentral's name for it is "MIR812 microRNA precursor family". The record is from Rfam by way of RNAcentral. Lineage: Eukaryota; Viridiplantae; Streptophyta; Magnoliopsida; Poales; Poaceae.